This 508-nucleotide ribosomal RNA is filed under the name uncultured bacterium. RNAcentral describes it as "bacterial SSU rRNA". It matches the Rfam family "Bacterial small subunit ribosomal RNA", at positions 94 to 631 of the family's 1533-position model. The record is from RNAcentral.
AGCGGCAGACGGGAGAGUAACACGUGGGAACGUGCCCUUCAGUACGGAACAACCCAGGGAAACUUGGGCUAAUACCGGAUACGUCCGUAAGGAGAAAGAUUUAUCGCUGAAGGAUCGGCCCGCGUCUGAUUAGCUAGUUGGUGAGGUAACGGCUCACCAAGGCGACGAUCAGUAGCUGGUCUGAGAGGAUGAUCAGCCUCACUGGGACUGAGACACGGCCCAGACUCCUACGGGAGGCAGCAGUGGGGAAUAUUGGACAAUGGGCGCAAGCCUGAUCCAGCUAUGCCGCGUGGGUGAUGAAGGCCCUAGGGUUGUAAAGCCCUUUCGGCGGGGAAGAUAAUGACGGUACCCGCAGAAGAAGCCCCGGCUAACUUCGUGCCAGCAGCCGCGGUAAUACGAAGGGGGGCUAGCGUUUGCUCGGAAUCACUGGGCGUAAAGCGCACGUAGGCCGGCUUUUUUAAGUCAGGGGUGAAAACCCUGGAGCUCAACUCCCGAACCGGCCUUUUAA